RNAcentral lists this transfer RNA (72 nucleotides) under Sphaerodactylus townsendi. Its description in RNAcentral is "tRNA-Ser". It matches the Rfam family "tRNA". Rfam says of the family: Transfer RNA (tRNA) molecules are approximately 80 nucleotides in length. Their secondary structure includes four short double-helical elements and three loops (D, anti-codon, and T loops). Lineage: Eukaryota; Metazoa; Chordata; Lepidosauria; Squamata; Sphaerodactylidae. The record is from RNAcentral.
GGUACUGUGGCAGAGAGGGAACGCAUGUGCUUUGAAUGCAGAAGAACCCCGGUUCAAACCCCAGCAUUUCCA